UUCGGAUAAGAGGCUGAAACUCGCCUCUUUGAAGUCGGAAUCGCUAGUAAUCGCAGAUCAGCAUGUUGCGGUGAAUACGUUUCCUGGUCUUGUACACACCGCCCGUCAAACCAUGAGAGUCGCCAACACCCGAAGUCCGCUUUGCGGCCUAAGGUGGGGGAGAUGAUUGGGGUUAAGUCGUAACAAGGUAAC
RNAcentral lists this ribosomal RNA (192 nucleotides) under uncultured bacterium. Its description in RNAcentral is "partial 16S ribosomal RNA". It matches the Rfam family "Bacterial small subunit ribosomal RNA", at positions 1292 to 1500 of the family's 1533-position model. The record is from RNAcentral.